Molecule: transfer RNA, 82 nt
Filed under: Bacteroidales bacterium
Lineage: Bacteria; Pseudomonadati; Bacteroidota; Bacteroidia; Bacteroidales
Description: tRNA-Leu
Rfam family: tRNA
About the family: Transfer RNA (tRNA) molecules are approximately 80 nucleotides in length. Their secondary structure includes four short double-helical elements and three loops (D, anti-codon, and T loops).
Source: RNAcentral
GCGGACAUGGCGUAAUCGGUAGCCGCGCCAGACUUAGGAUCUGGUUCCGAAAGGAGUGGGGGUUCGAGUCCCCCUGUCCGCA